This is a long non-coding RNA of Gossypium arboreum, 427 nucleotides long. RefSeq lists it as uncharacterized. The record is from RefSeq and is a predicted model, not a curated record. The transcript has 4 exons. Lineage: Eukaryota; Viridiplantae; Streptophyta; Magnoliopsida; Malvales; Malvaceae.
UAAAUAUGAUUAUAGAUACUUUAGUUACUAACAUUUUAUGUUCUUAGCAAUAAAUUGUGUAUUCAAGGUUAGUAAUAAAAUUUGAUUUUUCAUUUAGGAAAACAAGUAGAAUAGCCAGCUUAAUCACCAAUACAAAGGCUUAAAGGAUAAAGAUGAUAUCUCGAGAUAAGGUAAUCUUUAGAGGUUACAACCAAUCUCUUGUGCAAGCCUCCAUCAAACGAUCAAGGCGUGGGAUAGGUUGGAGUACUCGUGGGCUAGUUGCGCACUUUCGUAAUCAGGUAAUCCAUAAGCUUAGGCGGAUCGGUGUUGCGAGGGACUCAAAGGCAGCCACACAACUGCAUUUACUAUCAUAUUUACUUUUAUUUUUAUAAGUAAUUUUAAUUUGAAUAUUUUUACUGUAAUAAGGCCUCUAUGGAUUUAACUUUAA